RNAcentral lists this ribosomal RNA (383 nucleotides) under uncultured eukaryote. RNAcentral's name for it is "partial 18S ribosomal RNA". It matches the Rfam family "Eukaryotic small subunit ribosomal RNA", at positions 592 to 976 of the family's 1831-position model. The record is from RNAcentral.
CAAUAGCGUAUAUUAAAGUUGUUGCAGUUAAAAAGCUCGUAGUUGGAUUUCUGGUAGGAGUGACCGUUCCGAACUUGAUUGUUCGUGUAUUGUGUUUUCUCCAGCCAUCCUUGUGGAGAACUUUUCUUGCAUUAAUUUGUAGGGAUUGGGACCCGCAUCGUUUACUGUGAAAAAAUUAGAGUGUUUAAAGCAGGCAAUCGCUUGAAUACAUUAGCAUGAAAUAAUAAGAUAGGACUUUGGUACUAUUUUGUUGGUUUGCAUACCAAAUUAAUGAUCAACAGGAACAGUUUGAGGAUAUUCGUAUGAACAUGUCAGAGGUGAAAUUCUUGGAUUUUGAUCAGACGAACUACUGCGAAAGCAUUUAUCAAGGAUGUUUUCAUUAA